AGUUCGAUUAUGGCUCAGUUGAACGCUGGCGGGAUGCUUUACACAUGCAAGUCCGAACGGCAACGGUUUCGGUCUGGUGGCGAGUGGCACGAACGGGUGAGUAAUGUAUCGGAACGUGCCUAGUAGCGGGGAUAACUACGCGAAAGCGUAGCUAUUACCACGCCACGCCCCUUCCGGGGAAAGCGGGGGACCUUCGGGCCUCGCACUAUUAGAGCGGCUGAUAUCGGAUUAGCUAGUUGGUGGGGUAACGGCUCACCAAGGCGACGAUCCGUAAACUGGUUUGAGAGGACGACCAGCCACACUGGGACUGAGACACGGCCCAGACUCCUACGGGAGGCAGCAGUGGGGAAUUUUUGGACAAUGGGGGAAACCCUGAUCCGGCACUCCGCGUGUGCGUGGGGCCUUCAGGUUUAAUAAGCACUUUUGGCAGGAAAGAAACGGCACGGGAUAAUACCCCGUGCAACUGACAGUACCACCGAUCAGCACCAGCCCUAACUACGUGCCAGCAUACGGUAAUACGUAAAUUCAAGCGUUAAUCGGAAUUACUGGGCGUAAAGCGUGCGCAGGCGGUUCGGAAGAAAAGAUGUGAAAUCCCAGAGCUUAACUUUGGAACUGCAUUUUUAACUACCGAGCUUCAGAGAGUGUGUCAGAGGGAGGUGGAAUUCCGCGUGUAGCAGUGAAAUGCGUAGAUAUGCGGAGGAACACCGAUGGCGAAGGCAGCCUCCUGGGAUAACACUGACGCUCAUGCACGAAAGCGUGGGGAGCAAAACCCCAGGGAUUAGAUACCUGGUAGUCGCCUAAACGAUGUCAGCAGCUGUCUUUGGGGCCUUUGGGCGCUUGGUAGCGCAACUAACGCGUGAAGUUGACCGCCUGGGGAGUACAGUCGCGAAUUAAAACUCAAGGAAUUGACGGGGACCCGCACAAGCGGUGGAUGAUGUGGUUAAUUCGAUGCAACGCGAAAAACCUUACCUACCCUUGACAUUGUCUGGAAUCCCGAAGAGAGAUUUGGGAGUGCUCGCAAGAGAACCGGAACACAGGUGCUGCAUAGCUGUCGUCAGCUCAUUGUCGUGAGAUGUUGGUUAAGGUCACAACAGUACCAGCCCUUGUCAUUGGUGCUACGAAAGGGCACUCUGGCGAGACUGCCGGUGACGCAAACCGGAGGAAGGUGGGGAUGACGUCAAGUCCUCAUGGCCCUUAUGGGUAGGGCUUCACCACGUCAUACAAUGGUCGGGACAGAGGGUCGCCAACCCGCGAGGGAACCAAUCCCAGAAACCCGAUCGUAGUCGGAUCGCAGUCUGCAACUCGACUGCGUGAAUGGAAUCGCUAAGCGUCGCGGAUCAGCAUGUCGCGGUGAAUACGUUCCCGGGUCUUGUACACACCGCCCGUCACACCAUGGGAGUGGGUUUUACCAGAAGUAGUUAGCCUAACCGUAAGGAGGGCGAUUACCACGGUAAGGAUUCAUGACUGGGGUGAAGUCGUAACCAAGGUAG
This 1490-nucleotide ribosomal RNA is filed under the name uncultured Bordetella sp. RNAcentral describes it as "partial 16S-23S ribosomal RNA intergenic spacer". It matches the Rfam family "Bacterial small subunit ribosomal RNA". Lineage: Bacteria; Pseudomonadati; Pseudomonadota; Betaproteobacteria; Burkholderiales; Alcaligenaceae. The record is from RNAcentral.